AUCCAGAUGACUAGUCCAAAUAUAGGACGAAACGUGCGUCCUUGAU
Schistosoma curassoni is the source of this 46-nucleotide non-coding RNA. NCBI's taxonomy places the organism in Eukaryota, Metazoa, Platyhelminthes, Trematoda, Strigeidida, Schistosomatidae. The record is from Rfam.